Molecule: ribosomal RNA, 509 nt
Filed under: uncultured glomeraceous AM fungus
Lineage: Eukaryota; Fungi; Glomeromycota; Glomeromycetes; Glomerales; Glomeraceae
Description: SSU rRNA
Rfam family: Eukaryotic small subunit ribosomal RNA
Source: RNAcentral
CGCAGCCGCGGUAAUUCCAGCUCCAAUAGCGUAUAUUAAAGUUGUUGCAGUUAAAAAGCUCGUAGUUGAAUUUCGGGAUCAAUGUUUCGGUCAUGCCCUUGGUAUGUACUGAUAUUAUUGGUUUCUCACCUUCUAAAGAGCCGUAAUGCCAUUAAUUUGGUGUCACGGGGAAUUAGGACUGUUACCUUGAAAAAAUUAGAGUGUUUAAAGCAGGCUCACGCUUGGAUACAUUAGCAUGGAAUAAUGAAAUGGGACAUCCGAUUCUAUUUUGUUGGUUUCUAGGAUCGAUGUAAUGAUUAAUAGGGAUAGUUGGGGGCAUUAGUAUUCAAUUGUCAGAGGUGAAAUUCUUGGAUUUAUUGAAGACUAACUACUGCGAAAGCAUUUGCCAAGGAUGUUUUCAUUAAUCAAGAACGAAAGUUAGGGGAUCGAAGACGAUCAGAUACCGUCGUAGUCUUAACCAUAAACUAUGCCGACUAGGGAUCGGAUGAUGUUAAUUUUUUAAUGACUCA